This 306-nucleotide ribosomal RNA is filed under the name Triticum aestivum (bread wheat). Its description in RNAcentral is "partial small subunit ribosomal RNA". Lineage: Eukaryota; Viridiplantae; Streptophyta; Magnoliopsida; Poales; Poaceae. The record is from RNAcentral.
AUGGACGACGAGGCCAUGGCGGUGUGGCGCCAACACUUUCCAGAGGACGUCGUCAACGAGGGCGAAUUCUACGCGCAAAGAAGGGCGAAGCGAGCCGCCUAUUACGAGGACAGGCGUACGCGGAAGGCGGCCGCACUCUUCAACAUCGAGCUGAAAGAAGCGUCGACCUGGGACUCCAACGAUGAACGGUGGAUUGACGCAUUCAUUACGACGUCGAAGGAGGAGGAGGACAUCACCGAGUCGGAGUCAGAGUCAGAGGACGACAUCACCGAGCCGGAGUCGGAGGAGGAGGAAGACGAUGAGUAG